UACGGGGGGGGCAAGCGUUGUUCGGAAUUACUGGGCGUAAAGGGUUCGUAGGCGGCCAACUAAGUCAUACGUGAAAUCCCUCGGCUUAACCGGGGAACUGCGUCUGAUACUGGAUGGCUUGAGUUCGGGAGAGGGAUGCGGAAUUCCAGGUGUAGCGGUGAAAUGCGUAGAUAUCGAGAGGAACACCUGCGGCGAAGGCGGGUUGCUGGGCUGACACUGACGCUGACAGCGCGAAAGCUAGGGGAGCGAACGGG
Molecule: ribosomal RNA, 254 nt
Filed under: uncultured bacterium
Lineage: Bacteria
Description: partial 16S ribosomal RNA
Rfam family: Bacterial small subunit ribosomal RNA
Source: RNAcentral